UCCUGGUUAGCUCAUUUGGUAGGGCGCUCCACUGGAAAUGUAGCGGUCCCUCGUUCGAUACGAGGGCCAGGGG
Molecule: non-coding RNA, 73 nt
Organism: Ixodes scapularis (black-legged tick)
Lineage: Eukaryota; Metazoa; Arthropoda; Arachnida; Ixodida; Ixodidae
Source: Rfam